RNAcentral lists this long non-coding RNA (358 nucleotides) under Naja naja (Indian cobra). RNAcentral describes it as "lncRNA (ENSNNAG00000009454.1)". Lineage: Eukaryota; Metazoa; Chordata; Lepidosauria; Squamata; Elapidae. The record is from RNAcentral.
GCAAAGUUUAUUUUUAACCAGCGAAGUUGGAAAGGGCCUGCGAGAAGCAGCAUCUUUUAACCCAAUUGGCCUCGCUCAAAGCGUCAAGCACCAUCCCUCCUCCCUCUGGCUCGCUGCUUCGCUUCCCCCAGUGGGGUGAAGUUUUUAUGAUUUGUUGACAAAAGAUGAUGGGGAGCGAGAUGGCGUGGGGCUCCCCUCUUUGGAUGGGGAAGUGGAGGCGUCUUUCUCAAGAUAUAAAGUGCUUUUCUGAAGAGCAGUUUGAAGUUUAGAAAGGGUAGGAACUGCUUUAAUCCAUCUUCUCUUAAAGAUCUUUCUAAUAAUGAGUAUAUAGAGGUGAAAACAUAGAAGUGGGAUGGCA